GCUCUGCGUCCUUGUCCUGCUCUGCGUGGCGAGCCUCGUGGAUGUCACGGAAGGGCAGCGAGGCGGAGGCGGAAGUGGAGGACUUGCAGGCGCCGCAGGCGAGGACAGCAUACCAUUCGGGGCCGGAGUCGGCCCGCGCGGCCUCAGCAGCGGUACGUGGGCCGCAUGGUCCGCCUCCUCGCUGCUCGCCGCGGUCGCCUUGCUCCUGUAGCGCGGCGCCUAUAUGGUAAAGCGCGCUGUUGUUUGCUUUUACAUGCUUUUUUGUACUACGUGAUAUGUGUGAUGUGUGCUUGGGGAGAGAGGGUCCUGUGCAGCAUGCACUACUGAACCCAUGUGCAGUACUGGAUUUGGAUUGGUGUUUGGGGUGGCAACUAGUUUGGGCGCCUCGCAGAUAUAUUACUGUUCUGUCUUUGAUCGUGAGAUAAAUGGGUAAAAGUAUGUUGUAUCCAAUCAAGAAUACGACUAUUGUGAGUUGUGAAAGUACUAUAUGUAAAAGUGUGAUGUAUCUUUACCUAUUAUAAAAUCUUUAAGAUGUUUCUGCC
RNAcentral lists this small RNA (542 nucleotides) under Oryza sativa Japonica Group (Japanese rice). Its description in RNAcentral is "sRNA Os01g0795700". Lineage: Eukaryota; Viridiplantae; Streptophyta; Magnoliopsida; Poales; Poaceae. The record is from RNAcentral.